UACGGGGGGGGGCAAGCGUUGUUCGGAAUUACUGGGCGUAAAGGGCUCGUAGGUGGCCAACUAAGUCGGACGUGAAAUCCCUCGGCUUAACCGGGGAACUGCGUCUGAUACUGGAUGGCUUGAGUUCGGGAGAGGGAUGCGGAAUUCCAGGUGUAGCGGUGAAAUGCGCAGAUAUCAGGAGGAACACCGGUGGCGAAGGCGGGUCUCUGGGCCGAUACUGACGCUGAGGAGCGAAAGCGUGGGGAGCGAACAGG
This 254-nucleotide ribosomal RNA is filed under the name uncultured bacterium. RNAcentral describes it as "partial 16S ribosomal RNA". It matches the Rfam family "Bacterial small subunit ribosomal RNA", at positions 524 to 776 of the family's 1533-position model. The record is from RNAcentral.